GCCAUGAUUGUGAGGCCUCUCCAGCUAUGUGGAACUAAGUCACUGGUCCCAGAAGAAGAAGUAGCACAAGAAAAGGAAACCCAAAGAGAAGCACCAGAAAGAAGGAAAAUAACCAAGAAAGGCAGGAACACAUCACAUUGAGAAAAAGAGAGGCAGGAAAUUAUAUUUUUAAGUUACUUUAUCUGAUAUUUGCCAAAAGAGAACUUUUGCUGGUCUGUAGUUUUUCAAUAAAAUCAAUUAUGAUGAUGAA
Long non-coding RNA from Cebus imitator (Panamanian white-faced capuchin), 250 nucleotides. RefSeq lists it as uncharacterized. NCBI's taxonomy places the organism in Eukaryota, Metazoa, Chordata, Mammalia, Primates, Cebidae. The transcript is spliced from 2 exons. The record is from RefSeq and is a predicted model, not a curated record.